GUUUUAAAUAAUAAUAAUAAUAAGCCCGCAGGGCAGCUUGUGGCGAGCUGUUGGGGAGUAACGACCCCACGGACCCGAGUGCUCCCGAGAGUCGGUCAGGGUCUCCGUCUCCGGCGUGUCUUCGUCGGUCGGAGUGGACCCUAAGGGGACCCGUAGGACUCUCAGCUCUGGCUUGCCUUCAUUGGCCGUCCAGAGAGGAGUCGUUAGAGCUAUAUGCUCCAGAGGUGGAAGUUGAAAUAUGCAUAAGACGCGAGUUGGCACAGUGGCUGUUAACAGCCACUGGGUAGAAAGCGGCGCACACCUCUCGACACCCCUGAGCCGCUCACACCGGUGUUGCCCUUGAGCCAUCCUAGAUGUCGCUUUUUGUGGGGGCCCAUCUUGUGAGGGCGAGUCACCGUCUGCCGGAAAUAAAAUUGCAUACCGUUUUAUUAGGCAGGCGUCCGGUUUUUUACCCCAUAGCUCAGUUCUUAGUCCAUCGCUUUCACCCAAUAACCUAGUUCAUUUUAGAUUCCAUCAACUCUCAAUAGUCCUUACACCCUGGCGGGUGCUGCCUCUGCGUGCGUCCCAUGACACGGGCAAGGGCAGCCUCCGCUCGGUGUACCCCUUACAUUUCAUUAAAGUGUCAAAAGGGCCUCUACGUGUUGGCUUCGGCUCCGCGCACGCCUCCCAAAGGUCCGGAACACCAUUGUUCCGUGAUGGGAAAGACAUAAUAAUAUA
Molecule: long non-coding RNA, 717 nt
Organism: Cydia splendana
Lineage: Eukaryota; Metazoa; Arthropoda; Insecta; Lepidoptera; Tortricidae
Exons: 2
Source: RefSeq, a predicted model, not a curated record